Molecule: long non-coding RNA, 1028 nt
Organism: Amphiprion ocellaris (clown anemonefish)
Lineage: Eukaryota; Metazoa; Chordata; Actinopteri; Pomacentridae
Source: Ensembl
AUGUUCAGAAGAAGAGCCUGAAGGUCCAGCAGUGGUUCAGAUGUUCAGAAGAAGAGCCUGAAGGUCCAGCAGUGGUUCAGAUGUUCAGAAGAAGAGCCUGAAGGUCCAGCAGUGGUUCAGAUGUUCAGAAGAAGAGCCUGAAGGUCCAGCAGUGGUUCAGAUGUUCAGAAGAAGAGCCUGAAGGUCCAGCAGUGGUUCAGUUGUUCAGAAGAAGAGCCUGAAGGUCCAGCAGUGGUUCAGUUGUUCAGAAGAAGAGCCUGAAGGUCCAGCAGUGGUUCAGAUGUUCAGAAGAAGAGCCUGAAGGUCCAGCAGUGGUUCAGAUGUUCAGAAGAAGAGCCUGAAGGUCCAGCAGUGGUUCAGAUGUUCAGAAGAGCCUGAAGGUCCAGCAGUGGUUCAGAUGUUCAGAAGAGCCUGAAGGUCCAGCAGUGGUUCAGAUGUUCGCUCAGCUGGCUCUAAGUGGGUAAAAAUAUUCAAACAAAUCCUUCACUGAAUAUUUUCUUCACCAGUGGAACAGCAUGAAUGAAAACAUGUCAGAGCUGAUUGACUUCCUGUUGGGUCACAGAUCCAGUUAAUGUCUUGUUAGGACGAGUUUAUGUUUAAAUUUAAUUCUCUUAAACCCUUUAUAUGAAUAAACUAUAAAGUGUGAUGAAGAAGAAACCAAACUGUGUAAAACAGGCUCAGUGUUGGACUGAGAAGGUCGCUGAUGUAGAACGUUUCUCCUGAUAAAUGAACACCAGAGACUGAUGAGAGCAGCCAGAGCUGGUUUAUGAGCUUCCAGUAGUCGAAUCAUCUGAUGAAAUCACUGUUCAGGUGGUUUGUUUCUGCCAUAUUUAUGUUCAGUCUGACUGCAGCUACAAAAACAGAAGCUGUAGAAACUCUGCAGUCAUGAAAAAAGAAACUUUAAAAUUGUUGAUUUUAUCAUUUUAAAGGUUACCAUUUAUUAAAAACUGUUAAAAGUCAUGAAGUGAAACUUCAACAUUUGGUCUAUUUUCUGUAUUUUGUUUCUCUGCUCCUUUAAUUCUUAUGGA